This is a non-coding RNA of Polyporus arcularius HHB13444, 104 nucleotides long. The record is from the annotation of a GenBank genome assembly. NCBI's taxonomy places the organism in Eukaryota, Fungi, Basidiomycota, Agaricomycetes, Polyporales, Polyporaceae.
GGCCUGGUGGUCUAGUAGUAUGAUUCCUUCUUAGGGUGUAGACUGCUUGUGAAGCAGUUACUCCGAAUUGGAGGAGGUCCCGGGUUCAAUUCCCGGCCAGGCCC